RNAcentral lists this ribosomal RNA (466 nucleotides) under uncultured bacterium. Its description in RNAcentral is "bacterial SSU rRNA". It matches the Rfam family "Bacterial small subunit ribosomal RNA", at positions 28 to 521 of the family's 1533-position model. The record is from RNAcentral.
GACGAACGCUGGCGGCGUGCUUAACACAUGCAAGUCACGGGGGCCCAGCAAUGGGUAACCGGCGAACGGGUGCGUAACACGUGAGCAACCUGCCGAUCUGAGGGGGAUAGCCGGCCCAACGGCCGGGUAAUACCGCAUACGGUUCUUGAGGGACAUCCCUUGGGAACGAAACCUCCGGGGCAGAUCGAGGGGCUCGCGGCCUAUCAGCUAGUUGGCGGGGUAACGGCCCACCAAGGCGACGACGGGUAGCUGGUCNGAGAGGAUGGCCAGCCACAUUGGGACUGAGACACGGCCCAAACUCCUACGGGAGGCAGCAGUGGGGAAUAUUGGACAAUGGGCGCAAGCCUGAUCCAGCCAUGCCGCGUGAGUGAUGAAGGCCCUAGGGUUGUAAAGCUCUUUUGUGCGGGAAGAUAAUGACGGUACCGCAAGAAUAAGCCCCGGCUAACUUCGUGCCAGCCGCCGCCGU